CUUAGUAUUUUACAUCAUUCACAAUUAUUAGUCAUAAUCAAGUAUUAUCAGUCUAGUAAAUUAUUCCCAACACAAUUAUUUCCAUUUCUGUCACCUUCAGAAUGGGUUGCUAUUUUUAGUCAUAAACCAUAUAGGGUUGGGUUUCCUUAAAGCAUUUUUUUUUCAGCCUGACUUGUACUCUGCAGAGGAGUAGAUGACAGGUUUAGGGAAUAGACUGUGGGACAAUGCAGUUAGCUUUGAGAACUGAUUUCACAAAGAGUAAAAUCUCACACACUCCAAUUUCAGUUUCUAAAGUGAUAUAUUUUUAAAGCUCCAUUUGUAUCCUUGUCUGUCAGUUACACAGUAUAUUACUGUUCAAACCCAGUAGGGUCUACAAUCCAAGGUGCUUUUGCAGCCUGACUUUCACAGACCAAACUGGUCAUUCUCGUUAGUGUGAUUCAGUAAAACCUCAGUUAAUGUUUUGAGAAAGGGAUUCUGAUUUAUUACAUUUCUGGUUAAUAAGGGCUUUCAUUAGAAAAUACUUUUUGGUUCAAUAUGAUUAAUGGAAAUCUUUUUAAAAUAUAGUGAUAUUUUCGCAGUCUUAGUCUCAGUCAUCAUUAUGAACAACAACAUACAUAAUGAUACAAAAUCAACAAUUUUGUCACUAAUUAGGUCAACUAAGAUAAGUCACCUGAUUAAGCUAAUAAAUACCAGACACCUAUUGGUUAUUAAAAACUCUCAAUGGAGCAAAGAAUAUACUUAACAUGAUAAAAGUUCUCAAUCAUGAUUCAACAGAGAAGUACUAGAGAUAAAACAAAAUAAAGACACUAGCCAUCACUAACAUGAUUCUGGAAGUCAAAAGUCAUGGGAGUACACACACAC
This 861-nucleotide long non-coding RNA is filed under the name Marmota monax (woodchuck). The record is from RNAcentral. Lineage: Eukaryota; Metazoa; Chordata; Mammalia; Rodentia; Sciuridae.